Molecule: ribosomal RNA, 686 nt
Filed under: uncultured bacterium
Lineage: Bacteria
Description: bacterial SSU rRNA
Rfam family: Bacterial small subunit ribosomal RNA
Source: RNAcentral
CCUACGGGUCAAAGGAGCAAUUCGCUCAAGGAGGGGGUCGCGGCCGAUUAGUUAGUUGGCGGGGUAAUGGCCCACCAAGACUGUGAUCGGUAUCCGGCCUGAGAGGGCGCACGGACACACUGGAACUGAAACACGGUCCAGACUCCUACGGGAGGCAGCAGUGGGGAAUUUUGCGCAAUGGGGGAAACCCUGACGCAGCAACGCCGCGUGGAGGAUGAAGUACUUCGGUACGUAAACUCCUUUCGAUCGGGACGAUUAUGACGGUACCGGAAGAAGAAGUCCCGGCUAACUUCGUGCCAGCAGCCGCGGUAAUACGAGGGGGGCGAGCGUUGUUCGGAAUUAUUGGGCGUAAAGGGUGCGUAGGCGGUUUGGUAAGUCUUGUGUGAAAUCUAUGGGCUCAACUCAUAGACUGCACGAGAAACUGCCGGGCUUGAGUGUGGGAGAGGUGAGUGGAAUUCCUGGUGUAGCGGUGAAAUGCGUAGAUAUCAGGAGGAACACCUGUGGCGAAAGCGGCUCACUGGACCACAACUGACGCUGAUGCACGAAAGCUAGGGGAGCAAACAGGAUUAGAUACCCUGGUAGUCCUAGCCCUAAACGAUGACUGCUUGGUGUGACGGGUACCCAAUCCCGCCGUGCCGUAGCUAACGCGUUAAGCAGUCCGCCUGGGGAGUACGGUCGCAAGGCUG